CCCUUAGAUGUCCUGGGCCGCACGCGCGCUACACUGAUGCAUUCAACGAGUUUUACCUUGGCCGAGAGGCCUGGGCAAUCUUUUAAACCUGCAUCGUGAUAGGGAUAGAUUAUUGCAAUUAUUAAUCUUGAACGAGGAAUUCCUAGUAAACGCAAAUCAUCAAUUUGCAUUGAUUACGUCCCUGCCCUUUGUGCACACCGCCCGUCGCACCUACCGAUUGAAUGGUCCGGUGAAGCCUCGGGAUUGUGGCCAGUUCACUUUAUUGGGAGUUGGCUGUGAGAACUUGUCUAAACCUUAUCAUUUAGAGGAAGGUGAAGUCGUAACA
Molecule: ribosomal RNA, 325 nt
Filed under: uncultured eukaryote
Lineage: Eukaryota
Description: partial 18S ribosomal RNA
Rfam family: Eukaryotic small subunit ribosomal RNA
Source: RNAcentral